CGGGACGUGGCGCAGCCAGGUUAGCGCACUGCAAUGGGGUUGCAGGGGUCGGCGGUUCAAAUCCGCCCGUCCCGA
RNAcentral lists this transfer RNA (75 nucleotides) under Thermoflexus hugenholtzii JAD2. RNAcentral's name for it is "tRNA_Pro_GGG". It matches the Rfam family "tRNA". From Rfam's summary of the family: Transfer RNA (tRNA) molecules are approximately 80 nucleotides in length. Their secondary structure includes four short double-helical elements and three loops (D, anti-codon, and T loops). The record is from RNAcentral. RNAcentral also lists the same sequence under 5 other names. Lineage: Bacteria; Bacillati; Chloroflexota; Thermoflexia; Thermoflexales; Thermoflexaceae.